UAGCUGCUGUUUCGCCUCAUGUAAAACC
RNAcentral lists this small RNA (28 nucleotides) under Bombyx mori (domestic silkworm). Its description in RNAcentral is "piRNA piR-bmo-1370599". The record is from RNAcentral. Lineage: Eukaryota; Metazoa; Arthropoda; Insecta; Lepidoptera; Bombycidae.